CAGUAGCCACGGUAAUACGAAGGGUGCAAGCGUUAAUCGGAAUUACUGUGCGUAAAGCGUGCGUAGGCGGUUUGUUAAGUCUGUUGUGAAAUCCCGGGGCUCAACCUGGGAAUGGCAAUGGAUACUGGCAAGCUAGAGUGUGUCAGAGGAUGGUGGAAUUCCCGGUGUAGCGGUGAAAUGCGUAGAGAUCGGGAGGAACAUCAGUGGCGAAGGCGGCCAUCUGGGACAACACUGACGCUGAGGCACGAAAGCGUGGGGAGCAAACAGGAUUAGAUACCCCUGUAGUCCCUGUCUCUUAUAC
This 301-nucleotide ribosomal RNA is filed under the name uncultured bacterium. RNAcentral describes it as "partial 16S ribosomal RNA". It matches the Rfam family "Bacterial small subunit ribosomal RNA", at positions 509 to 807 of the family's 1533-position model. The record is from RNAcentral.